GUUUAUGAGGAGAUUGAUGGAUCUGAGGCAAGCACAACUGAUGCAAAGCCCACAUCUAUCUUGGUUGAAGGAUGUGGUCCGCCGACAGGGUGGGAGGAGGAAUUACACGCACGAGAACAACAGCCCCUCAUAAAUCACUGCCGCCCAGAGAAAGUGUCACGUUCCAGUGCUUGGUGGGAAUUGGUCAGAGGAAACAGGAAAGGGAGCCGAUGACAACAUCUGGUUGUGAUUUCAGAGAUGCGGGCAUGCUUGGGACUUUUCCAGACCAAAGUAAUCAUAUUUUUGUCAGCACGACUAUCUCUUACCUGCUGCAGAGUGUGAAUGAAUAAUUGAAUCCCGACCUUGCAACAGAAGCUGUCACAAAGCUAUGAAUCCUGUUGGACCUCCACUGAAGUGAAGCGUGGAUACUAUAUCAUGCUUUUUGAU
Carassius carassius (crucian carp) is the source of this 426-nucleotide long non-coding RNA. RefSeq lists it as uncharacterized. The record is from RefSeq and is a predicted model, not a curated record. Lineage: Eukaryota; Metazoa; Chordata; Actinopteri; Cypriniformes; Cyprinidae. The transcript has 3 exons.